This 253-nucleotide ribosomal RNA is filed under the name uncultured bacterium. RNAcentral's name for it is "partial 16S ribosomal RNA". It matches the Rfam family "Bacterial small subunit ribosomal RNA", at positions 524 to 776 of the family's 1533-position model. The record is from RNAcentral.
GACAGAGGGUGCAAACGUUGUUCGGAAUUACUGGGCGUAAAGCGAGUGUAGGCGGUCUGCUAAGUCGGGUGUGAAAGCCCCGGGCUCAACCCGGGAAGUGCACUCGAUACUGCCGAGCUAGAGUAUCGGAGAGGUUGGUGGAAUUCUCGGUGUAGAGGUGAAAUUCGUAGAUAUCGAGAGGAACACCGGUGGCGAAGGCGGCCUACUGGGCUGCACCUGACGCUGAGCCGCGAAAGCCAGGGGAGCGAACGGG